CCUCUCUGUCAAUUAAAACCAACCGUUGAAGCAUUUUCCCUCUCACACAAUUAAAAACGCAAAGGAAAGUCGUCGAACCCACUAGCCGCGUAACGCUAAAAAUCCCUUCCGUCCUAUUUUCCUCCACCCAUCGCCAUCGAAACAGUGCUCCAGCCACCACCGUCCAAACGCCACAAUAAGCCAUUGCCGUCGAACCCACUAGCCAGUGUUGUCUGUUGAACCGAGAAAUCUAGCCACUGUCGUCGAAUUUUGGGUUGCAACGCUGUCUAAAUCAAGUUUGCGUUCGGUGCUUCUCCUCCAUUACAAGAUCUUCCGCCGUUCGAGGCCUCUCCUCUCUCCUUCCUCCGUCCGGUUCGUUCUUCGUUCAUUCCUAUAGUGCUCUUUAUUGCUGGUUUAGUAGUCUGUGUCCAAAUCUCAUUUUCUAGAUUGAAUCCAAAUCCUGUACAAUGCCUAAUCUCACAAGAAACAUCCAAUUUGAUGAGAUUUCUAUGAAGUUGAGUUUGAUUUUCUCUGAUUGUCUCAAGAUACUGAUCAUUCACCCUUGGCAAAGGUUUUCGAAAAAGGACAAGUCUUCAUCCAUUACUUACCUUCUUUCUGCAUUUGAUGAAAUCUGACUCUUUAUGUAAUACUCACAGGUAAGAUUAUUUAUUGAUCCCAUGCUUACAAUUGGUUAGUAUUCUACUACUUAAUGGAACUCCUUUUUUCUUUUUCGUUCUUCAUAUAAUUUAGGUUGCUUAGUUUAGUUGAUGUCUAUCCCACUUAGUUUAGUUGGUAUUGUAAAGCUUAUUGAACUGUUUGGAUUGUUGUCGCUCAGUCUAGUUCCAUAGCUCUGAAAGCAACGUGGAUUUGCAGCUAUAUAGCCAUGUGCCAGUUCCUCGAAAAGAAAGAAACAAAUAGGUCUUUCUAUUAGGAAGCCUCUGGGCGAGUUAUUUUUAGAUGAUUCCACAUUUUGGAACAAAAGAGUAGAUCAAAAAUUAGAUGACCUUGUGAGUAUCUUUUGUUUGUGUUUUGAUUUGGUUGUGAGGGAUUUAUUAGUUAUGAAUACAAUCAAAGUUCCCUGUUUUGUUUCUGUAAAGUCUUUCUAUUAGGUGCUCACAUUUUUCAUAUAUAGGCUUUGAAAGUUUAAUAUCUAGUUCAUUUCUCUGUUUGGUACAGUUAUGUAGGACUAUAUUCAAGGCCACUUAUUUGGAUCUCAUCUGUAGCUCAUAUGAUAUUCCUUUUUCCAUUCACUUGUAAUUCUAAAGAGAUAUUGAAUGAACAUGGGCAUAUAUUUUUAUUCUCCAUUACCCUGUUUUGUUUAAUUGUUUUUCCACAAGUGAAAAUUCCUGAAAAAACCGGUGGUGGUUUUUUUACACCACCACCGCUGUUGGUACUUGAAGACAUGCAAUAUAGAUACUUCAUGGUUCCAGAAAAAUGCAUGUCUGGACGUUCAGGCAUCGAGUUUGAAUCGACUUGUUGAUGCUCAUGCUAUUACACAUUUGUAACUGCCCACUAAUUUUUUUUUCUGAUGUCAAACUCUGUCAGAUUCUCAUCAUGAAUUCAAGUCUAAUUGCAUAAUCAUAUUUGGUUCCAAAAUAUUUUCUUAUAAAAGAUCUGGAGCUUCAUGUUGAAGAUUAGUCUAAGUAUAGUUCACCGGAUGAUGACCUGAACUUCGUCAAGUUGUAUUUGCUCAUUCCACUUGGCUAAUGUAUUACCAUUUUCAUUUCAGUAGUAAUUAUUCUCAAGUUCUCCAUUUUAUAUGGUGAGCAUUUCAGUAGUAAUACCGUUUUUAUUUCAGUAGUAAUUAUCUUAUGGAUAUUUAAACAAUAUUUGAUAUAUGAAUUAGAUUUGCUUUUGUUAGCCAUUCUUAUCCUAAUUGAUUCUGAGCUAGAUUAGAACUUGAAUUGGGAGGUCUUUGACAGAUUCUUGCACAAUCAAUAAUGGGAUUCUGGGUUGUGACUUUUUUUUAGUACAUUGUAUUAGGAUUCACCAUGUAUGAUUGAGUGAUUAGGAUUUUGCUCGACUAGUUUGAAACAAAGUAGUCUGAAGUCUCCUCCUCUUGUGCUCGUGAAAUAGUAUUUCAAUUUAUAAAUUUGAUGUAAAGUUUACUAAGUUUUCUUAAUUUCAAGUUUAUUUUGAUUUGUAGCCUAUCUAUGUGGUUAUGUCAUGAAUUAUAUUGAUCUUAUUGUGUAAAGUUUUAUUGAGAGUUUAGUUGUAUUAAUGCAAGUGAUAUUUGACAAUUUUUUUUUCUUUUUUUUUUUAUUUAUCAGGACUUGAAAAACCUCGAGGUAGUUGAAGAAUAUGUGGACCAUGAGAUCAAUCAAGUUCAUUUAUGCAUUAGUUUGAUUAGAUUAGAUUAGGUCACACAUACAUGUAUUACAGUUAAUUUAUCUUUUAGAUUAUUGUAAAACUUUUAUCGACAAAGUAAUUUAUAUAUUUUAUUAUUAAUAUAAAAAUCUUUCUAAACA
Long non-coding RNA from Cucumis melo (muskmelon), 2447 nucleotides. RefSeq lists it as uncharacterized. The record is from RefSeq and is a predicted model, not a curated record. Lineage: Eukaryota; Viridiplantae; Streptophyta; Magnoliopsida; Cucurbitales; Cucurbitaceae. The transcript is spliced from 3 exons.